UGAACUGAGAAGCACCAGAGGAAAUUCCUCGCUGCAGAGAUGGGAAUACAACAACCACGCAAUCAGGGGCAUUUCAAUCACUUAGCGUGAAGCCAAAGACUUGCUGCGUAACCUUGGGUCGGUGGAUCAAAGCUGCUGCGUUUAUUUAGGAGCACUGAAAGAAGAGCCAAAAGAAGGAAGGAAUAAAUGGAAAGGAGCUCACUGAGUGCGUGUGCCUGGGAGGAAGGGAAUGGGAAACCAGCAGCUCACUGACCAGGGCGCAGCAGAAGGACAGGAGCUGACAUGAGGUGAGCAUUUCACUUUUGCUUUGAAGGAUUAAAGACUUUUAUAGGAUGGGCUCACGUUUGUACAAUGCUGCUGCAUCAGCCCCAUUUCUGAGAAGGGACAGGGGGAAUCACUGUGUGCAAAGACAAAUAAGCUCCUGUUGACAGCUGAACAAAGUCUGAUGGCAAAGGACUCGGAGCAGGUCUAAGCUGCCUGGCAGCAGCCUGGCAGGGACUGGCCAAAAGUGA
Non-coding RNA from Struthio camelus australis, 512 nucleotides. NCBI's taxonomy places the organism in Eukaryota, Metazoa, Chordata, Aves, Struthioniformes, Struthionidae. The record is from RefSeq and is a predicted model, not a curated record.